Molecule: ribosomal RNA, 555 nt
Filed under: uncultured bacterium
Lineage: Bacteria
Description: partial 16S ribosomal RNA
Rfam family: Bacterial small subunit ribosomal RNA
Source: RNAcentral
CAGGGAAUCUUCGGCAAUGGACGAAAGUCUGACCGAGCAACGCCGCGUGAGUGAAGAAGGUUUUCGGAUCGUAAAACUCUGUUGGUAGAGAAGAACGUUGGUGAGAGUGGAAAGCUCAUCAAGUGACGGUAACUACCCAGAAAGGGACGGCUAACUACGUGCCAGCAGCCGCGGUAAUACGUAGGUCCCGAGCGUUGUCCGGAUUUAUUGGGCGUAAAGCGAGCGCAGGUGGUUUAUUAAGUCUGGUGUAAAAGGCAGUGGCUCAACCAUUGUAUGCAUUGGAAACUGGUAGACUUGAGUGCAGGAGAGGAGAGUGGAAUUCCAUGUGUAGCGGUGAAAUGCGUAGAUAUAUGGAGGAACACCGGUGGCGAAAGCGGCUCUCUGGCCUGUAACUGACACUGAGGCUCGAAAGCGUGGGGAGCAAACAGGAUUAGAUACCCUGGUAGUCCACGCCGUAAACGAUGAGUGCUAGAUGUAGGGAGCUAUAAGUUCUCUGUAUCGCAGCUAACGCAAUAAGCACUCCGCCUGGGGGAGUACGACCGCAAGGUUCGAAAC